This 545-nucleotide long non-coding RNA is filed under the name Panax ginseng (ginseng). RNAcentral's name for it is "long non-coding RNA (PGIN_LNC016773)". Lineage: Eukaryota; Viridiplantae; Streptophyta; Magnoliopsida; Apiales; Araliaceae. The record is from RNAcentral.
AGAGAUUGCAUUACAUGCUUCCAGGUACGGAUAUAGCAUAAGGGCGCAAGGCUGUUUUCUUUAAAUUCUUUUUCACGGUUCAUGUUAGGGGGCAGACUGCAAAACAUGGCCCUCAAGGAUUUGCAAACUUUAUGCAUUUGCUUUCUAUUCUAAUCCCAUUUCACAAAGAGGAGGGAGAGGAAGCUAUUACCAAUCAUAUUAUUUUCCGAGAUUUGUGGGUUGUGGGCUGUAUCCUCUUAGACUCCCUAUUUUUAUGAUAUACUAUUUUAAUAGUAUAUCUUCUUCUUUUUUUUGACUUUUUGGUAAUAAGCUUAACCCGCCAUAAAAAAUGAGUCAAAAAAAAAAUUAUAUAAAUUAAAGACAUCUGCUCUUCAAUCUUGUUUUGGUCGAGCACAAUUCAAUUCUUCCACCAAAUUCAUAAAUCCACACCAUUCUCUCAUCAUUAUCACACCUUCUUUUGAGACUUGAUGUUUGAAUUAAGCAUAUGUUUGUUCGUGUCUCCCUCUUUUACAUGCGAGUUCAAAUGUCCUACACUUAAAUUAUCC